RNAcentral lists this ribosomal RNA (480 nucleotides) under uncultured bacterium. Its description in RNAcentral is "bacterial SSU rRNA". It matches the Rfam family "Bacterial small subunit ribosomal RNA", at positions 28 to 507 of the family's 1533-position model. The record is from RNAcentral.
GACGAACGCUGGCGGCGUGCCUAAUACAUGCAAGUCGAGCGGGGAUUAUGCUUGAUCGCUUCGGUGAGACGGCAUAUAUCCUAGCGGCGGACGGGUGAGUAACGCGUGGGUAAUCUACCUCGUAGUUCGGGAUAACAGGCCGAAAGGCUUGCUAAUACCGGAUGAGUUCAUGCUUAUGCAUAUAGGCAUGAAGAAAGGGCUAGCCCGCUAUGAGAUGAGCCCGCGUCCCAUUAGCUUGUUGGUGGGGUAACGGCCUACCAAGGCAACGAUGGGUAGCCGGCCUGAGAGGGUGUACGGCCACACUGGGACUGAGACACGGCCCAGACUCCUACGGGGGGCAGCAGUAGGGAAUUUUCGGCAAUGGGCGAAAGCCUGACCGAGCGACGCCGCGUGAGGGACGAAGGCCUUCGGGUUGUAAACCUCUGUCUGGGGGGAUGAGAACGGACGGUACCCCCGGAGGAAGCCCCGGCUAACUACGUG